ACGGAGGAUACGCUGAGGACAAGGAAGAACGAAUUGAGUAGGCUUACUUGGAGACUGGGGAGCCAUGUUAGCGCUUGGAAGCUUCUCAGAUACUCUGGCGAACGUUUCCGGGAUCUGGCAGGCUUUUAUGCAGGCGGUAACGAGGGCUGAUUGGUGACAGGUGCAUGGCCGAGGAAGGUGCUGGAAAGAGAGAGAGAGAGCGAGAGAGAGAGCGAGAGGGGACGGGAGAAAGAGGGAGAGAGGGCGCGAGGCGCCACCCGGGCUCCAACCAUAGUACAGCAGGGCGGCUCAUCAAAGGUCACAAUCUUUUGUGUGCAUUUGUUGGUUUGACCUGUGUGCAUGUGAGUGUGUUUUGAUUUUUGUCAAAACACAUUGGACAUUGUAUCUGUAGCUAUUUAUAUCAUAUGGACUGUGUAGAAAUAUCAUAUUGUUUUGACUAUACAUGGUAGCGUUUAAUUUUUUGUUUAGAGCCCUUACAUAUAACCGUUUAUAUCGAGCACAUUUGAAUGGCUGCCAUCUGCCUCACACUUCUGAGGCCCCGCCCCGCCUGUGUGGCUUUUGUGCGGGCGCGCUCCGCUUUCCUCCCACAUCCCCAAAAACCUGCGCGCCAGGUCGAUUGGAGAUUUGAAAUUGCCCAAAGGCAAUGUCGCUUUCUAUGUGGCCUGCGACCGGUUCAGGGCGUGCCACCCGAAGAUAGCCGGGACAGGCUCCAGUAUCCUCGCCACCCUCGUGAGGAGAAGCGCUUCGCAAAAUGAAGCAAUCGAUCGAUCGAUCGAUCGAUUGUCAUUGUUCAUAACCUUUGUAGAAUAGUUGAAAAUCCGUAUAUUUUGAAAGGACUGCGUAAGUACCUUGUUUUGAUUAUUAUUGCGAGAAGCUCCAGCAGUGAGGGUAAUAAGCGGUGAAGAAAAUGCUGACAUGUUGGGAAUAAAGUUGCAUUUUAUGUCAAUUUUACAACAAUAUCACUUUUGUCAAGAGACAACAAGGAUCAAGUUUUCUUUUCAUUACAAAAAGAACAAAUCUUGACUUAUAAGAAGAGUCAUAUUAUAUGUCAAUAAAUAGCAACAUUGUGAGCAGAGUCUGAAUUUUUUGGGGGUCAUAAUCUAAUGAGAAUAAAUUAGUCUUUUUUUUUUCCCCAAGAAUAAAAUGUGACUUUUUCCCGAAAAAGGUCAGACAUGAAUGAAGACAUUUCUGGAGCUGCACUGAAAUAUUAACAGAAGUUUUUUGUUGUUGUCGUGAUCUCACGAGAAUACAUUUGUAUUUUUUCUGGCCGUAAUUGUAAAAUAGUCAAAUUCCUUUCGUGAAACAAAGUUGCAAUAUGACAGGAAUAAAGGAGAAAAAGCUGUAUGAUAAUGAGAGUAAAAAAGUAAUAUUCCGAGAAUUAGGAGGUGUGUGUGUGUGUUUUUUGUUUUUUUUCUUGCAGGUUGAGUAAGGAAAACAAAGAGUCUUUGGACCCCUACGUGUAUUUGCCCUUUGGAGCGGGAUGCGCUUCGCUCUGGUCAGCAUGAAGUUGGCCAUCGUGGAGAUCCUGCAACGCUACAACUUUUGCGUGUGCGACGAGACCGAGCGGGGCCAUUCGGCAUUUAUUUUGGAGAGAAAUGCAUUUGGGACAGUUAAACGUUCAAAGUGAAAAUGCUCGCAGCUAGGAGCUCUGGAGUGAUGCAGAGGUCAGUCCAAAGCUCAAAAUGUCAACAUCCAGUCACACCCGCAUUGUGACUUUGCCCACCAGGUGCCCAUCGAGAUGGACGUGCAGGGCCGGGGCCUGCUGAUGCCCGAGCGACCAAUCAAACUGAAGUUGGCGCUCCGGUCGUGAAGCUCAAGAAGCAGGAAAUCAAACGCUUGCACGCUAGAUUCGAAAUAGAGAAUAUGAUCAGAAAAAUGCAAGAGAAAACUCCCAAAUUGUGGACAACGAUGCGCGUAAACCCGCCAAUGUGACAGAGUCAUCCGCCCUUGGGAAAAGGUUGUUGUGGCACAUUUUGAAGGUCGUCCCAGCAAAACAAUUCUAAAAUCUACGCAUGAUAGACAUGCUGGAUGGCUGAAUUUGCAAAAUGGCUGCGACCACCCAAAAUGGCAGAAUUGCCGUGUCUUUCGUGACAUGGCUUUUGGAGACUUUUUAGACAUUCCCACCGAAUUUCAUGUUGGCUUUGGGAAAAAAAAACAAUCUAAGAAUAAUAAACAAAUCUUCAACAACAAUAAAUAGAUGAAAAAAAUACUCUCUAACGAUCGAUUUGCACAGAAUACUGCUAUAUGUGACCCUCCGGCACACAUAUGAACGGAAGUUGCACAGUUGUGUUUUGAGCUUGACUCUGUUAACAAAAAUAAUUGUUAGUUGAGGUUAAAUUAAAUGAAUGAUCAAAAAUGA
Molecule: long non-coding RNA, 2359 nt
Organism: Phyllopteryx taeniolatus (common seadragon)
Lineage: Eukaryota; Metazoa; Chordata; Actinopteri; Syngnathiformes; Syngnathidae
Exons: 2
Source: RefSeq, a predicted model, not a curated record